GACGAACGCUGGCGGCGUGCUUAACACAUGCAAGUCGAACGGAAAGGCCCUGCUUUUGUGGGGUGCUCGAGUGACGAACGGGUGAGUAACACGUGAGUAACCUGCCCUUGACUUUGGGAUAACUUCAGGAAACUGGGGCUAAUACCGGAUAGGAGCUCCUGCUGCAUGGUGGGGGUUGGAAAGUUUCGGCGGUUGGGGCUGGACUCGCGGCUUAUCAGCUUGUUGGUGGGGUAGUGGCUUACCAAGGCUUUGACGGGUAGCCGGGCUGGGAGGGUGGCCGGCCCCGUUGGGACUGGGCUGCGGCCCAGACUCCUACGGGAGGCAGCGGUGGAGAAGAUUGCACUAUGGGCGGAAGCCUGAUGCAGCAACGCCGCGUGCGGGAUGACGGCCUUCGGGUUGUAAACCGCUUUCGCCUGUGACGAAGCGUGAGUGACGGUAAUGGGUAAAGAAGCACCGGCUAACUACGUG
RNAcentral lists this ribosomal RNA (468 nucleotides) under uncultured bacterium. Its description in RNAcentral is "partial 16S ribosomal RNA". It matches the Rfam family "Bacterial small subunit ribosomal RNA", at positions 28 to 507 of the family's 1533-position model. The record is from RNAcentral.